Molecule: non-coding RNA, 277 nt
Organism: Rattus norvegicus (Norway rat)
Lineage: Eukaryota; Metazoa; Chordata; Mammalia; Rodentia; Muridae
Source: RefSeq, a predicted model, not a curated record
GUUGAUUCAUGCUCCACCAAUCCCUGAAGGACAAUUAGCAUAGCCUCAGCCUGCUGUCUAUAUGAGGCGAGUGCUUUUGCUGCUUGGGUUCCCCGUAUCAGCAAUGAAGGUGUCCUGCAAUAAAGGCUGUUGACAAGGAUCCGACGGUGUUGCGUCUUCCUUAAUGGAUAAGUUUGUUUAUAUGAUGGCCUGUGUUGAUGGAUUCUGGUAUGUGUAACCAUCCCUGUAUCCCUGGGACGAAGUCUACUUAAUCACAAUAUACGCUGGUUUUCAUUUU